CUUGUUCCUCCUAGCCAGCUCUUGAAGAGUCGGAAAUUCACUCUAAACAGGAGAAGCAGCAAUGAGAACUUCAAGAAGAGAUAUAAGUGGAGAUGGGGUUUUACCGUGCCAGGAUGGUCUCGAUCUCCUGACCUCGUGAUCUGCCCGCCUCGGCCUCCCAAAGUGCUGGGAUUACAGGCUUGAGCCACUGCGCCUGGCCAGAAGACAGUUAUUGCCUCAACUUACAGCUCAUCCAAGAUCAACUGCAGAGGAGGACGAGGGAAAUUUUAUAUGGGAACAAUUAUCUGAAAAAUAGAAUGUCCUCAUUUGUAUGGUCAAGGCUGGGUUGCAGAGAAGUCCAUGUUGCAGCUCAUGGAAAAAAAGAACCAAAGGGACUCAAGAACACUGGCUUAUGUCUUAGAUUGGAGAUGACCUGGAAAGUCAACUUUCACCCAUAACCCAUUGGCCUAAAACAAUAGAAGGCAACUGGAAAAGAGGCAAGGAUUCUAACUACAUACUGCAGAAAAAAUAUUCACACCUGUCAAAUUCCAACAGCUGGCAUUGUUGUUGUUCUACGAAUAAGCACACACAGAAUCCUCGUGAAUAGUUCUUUGUCUCUUGCUCUAGUAAAUCAUAACCUGCUUGUAGCUUUUUUAUGAACCUUCAGGAAUAACUCUUCAGAGGAUGCUAAUACAUCAUUAAGAUUAAAUUGAACCUCAAAGGUGGGUUUUUUUUCCAAAAUGAUAAAGGCCACCAACACUGCAAGGUUUGCCGUCAUUCCCUUGAUCUGGUAAGUGACACCGUCUUCAGGGUUUGUGUACUCAAAGAUAUGAUUAAUAAAACGGUGACCAAGACGUGUGACGUAAUGCUGGUCAUGGACCUGUGGAUGCAGGAAAUAGGCCAGAGGCACCAGGAAUACAUCCUUAACUUCAGCAGGAUUCGGCUGGGCCUGGAAGUUGUGGUCUAUUAAACCCACAAAUGGAGUUAUCAAUGUAUCUGUCUAAAAGCAGAAAACAAAACAGACAAAUUAAGAAGUGAAGUGAUACUGCUUCAAAUCCUAAAAUCAUGCCACUUCUAGGUGAGCUAAGAAAAUACACCGAACCUGGGAGAAGGGGAAGAAAGCUUAUUCCGGAAACAAAUUUAUGUUCCCCCUAAAAUGGGAGUCAUCCUGCUCUACCUGAGGUGACAUCUAUGAGAUGACUCUGAAAAUGAUUUCUUGUAUGAACAUAAAGUAGUACAAUCUUUUGGAAUGGCAAUUUGGCAGUAUCAUAAAAAUGUGUUCGCUUUGACCUGGGAAUUGCAUUUGUGUAUCUGUAUGAUAAAUUCCUACCAGUAAGAAAAGACACAAGUAUAAACCUGAAGAAUUAGUUUCAACAACAGCCCCAAAUUCUAAAGUUAUCACUCUUCACUUUAUAGGCAUUUAGGUUAUAUAAAUUAGGGUUAUAUCCAUAAAAGAGGAUACUAUGUAGCCUUUAAAAACAAUGGGAUAGACAUCUUUCCUUCUCAGUAAAGAAAAAAAUGUGCUAUACUUAUGAACAGAAAAGUAAAGUGAUAUAAUACUAGUUAUGACAUAUUCCCAUUUAUGGAAAAAUUUCAUAGUACAUACACAUAUAUAUAUAAUUAUGUGUCUUAUAUAUAACUAUAUGUGAACUACUUUAUAUAACACACAUGUAUAUAUUACAUGGGAGAGGGAUUUCUAUUUACAACCACAACUGCUUGCAAAUGAACAUGAGUGGCCGGGUGUGGUGGCUCACGCCUGUAAUCCCAGCACUUUGGGAGGCUGAGGUGGGCGGACCACCUGAGGUCAGGAGUUUGAGACCAGCCUAGCCAACAUGAUGAAAUCCCGUCUCUACUAAAAAUACACAAAUUAGCCGGGUGUGGUGGUGCGUGCCUGUAAUCCCAGCUACUCAGGAGGCUGAGGCAGGAGAAUUGCUUGAACUUGGGAGGCGGAGAUAGAUUGCAGUGAGCCGAGAUCAUGCCACUGCACUCCAGCCUGGGUGACAGAGAGAGGCCCAGUCUCAAAAAUAAAAAUAAAUAUAUAAAAGUAAAAAAGCAAAUGAACAUGAGUGUUGUCAAAUGAAAGACUGUUUUGUUAUACUGGAAACCCUGAGAGGGAGGCCUGGGGCUGAGUGAGGAUGUGGGAACUGGUAAGAGCUGCCUGCCUUUGUAUUAGAAAGUGAGAAGAACUGGAAUUCCUGGAGCAUCCCAAGAGGAAGUGGGUGGAAAAAGCCAGAGAGGUAGACACAUGGUGAGGCUGGGACCUAUCCGGCCUGCAGAAUGUUCUGAGGGACAGCCAAAGACAGGAAACCAAAUUUAGGAACAGAGACAACUCAGACCAUUAACCAAAAUAAUAGUGAAAGUCAACAUUUGGACCAGGAGGAGACAAGAGGAACAUAGACUUCGUAUGUCCUUGGGGCAGGAAAUUUGGGGUCAUUAAGUUACCCGAGGGCAGAGGCAACAUUCUACCAGCACGUAACACCACACCUGGCAUUGGGGAAAUGCUUAGUCUCUGAAUAUGGAGUUUUCCAGGUGGACUCUGAGAUAAGGACUCAGAUGCAAGUGAUUUUUUAAGAAAGUGCUCCCAGGGGAAACAGUUAAGGGGAAGAGGGGAGCAAUACUCAUAAGGGAAGAAGGCUGGCAAGGGCACCAUGGGGUGUUCUGGAGGGUAAAUUAAUAUGCAGUUUGUCCCACAUGGAGACAAGGGAGCUGGGAUUUCAUGCUCCCCAGCCCCAGUCAGUCACUGGUUAAGGACUACCUUGCCAGAGGUGAAUUCACAGGCACUCCCAGCUCUCUGUGCAGGACACAUGGCAAGGUGGCUCCAGUAUCAAGGGUACCAGUAUUCAGAAGAAAGCUGCCAAGUGUUGUCAGAGGCGUUUGAACCAGAGCAACUCCAUCUUGAAUAGGGGCUGGGUAAGAUAAGGCUUGGAGCUACUGGGCUGCAUUCCCAGGAGGUUAGGGCAUGCUUAGUCACCAGAUGAGACUGAGAUACAAGUCAUAAAGACCUUACAGUAAAGAAGGCCAUCAAAACGCACCAAAACCAAGAUGGCAAUGAAAGUAACCUCUGGUCAUCCUCACUGCUCAUUAUACGAUA
Molecule: long non-coding RNA, 3070 nt
Filed under: Homo sapiens (human)
Lineage: Eukaryota; Metazoa; Chordata; Mammalia; Primates; Hominidae
Description: HSALNT0387001
Source: RNAcentral